This 233-nucleotide ribosomal RNA is filed under the name uncultured bacterium. RNAcentral describes it as "partial 16S ribosomal RNA". It matches the Rfam family "Bacterial small subunit ribosomal RNA", at positions 524 to 756 of the family's 1533-position model. The record is from RNAcentral.
UACGAAGGGUUCUAGCGUUGCUCGGAAUGACUGGGCGUAAAGGGCGCGUAGGCGGCUUGCACAGUCAGUCGUGAAAUUCCUGGGCUCAACCUGGGGACUGCGCUUGAGACGUGUGGGCUUGAGUGGGGAAGAGGGUCGUGGAAUUCCCAGUGUAGAGGUGAAAUUCGUAGAUAUUGGGAAGAACACCGGUGGCGAAGGCGGCGACCUGGUCCUUGACUGACGCUGAGGCGCGA